AUACGGAGGGUGCAAGCGUUAUCCGGAAUCAUUGGGUUUAAAGGGUCCGUAGGCGGACUAUUAAGUCAGAGGUGAAAUCCCACAGCUCAACUGUGGAACUGCCUUUGAUACUGGUAGUCUUGAGUUAUAUGGAAGUAGAUAGAAUGUGUAGUGUAGCGGUGAAAUGCAUAGAUAUUACACAGAAUACCGAUUGCGAAGGCAGUCUACUACGUAUAUACUGACGCUAAGGGACGAAAGCGUGGGGAGCGAACAGGAUUAGAUACCCCAGUAGUCC
Molecule: ribosomal RNA, 274 nt
Filed under: uncultured bacterium
Lineage: Bacteria
Description: partial 16S ribosomal RNA
Rfam family: Bacterial small subunit ribosomal RNA
Source: RNAcentral